CUAAAUUGAAUUGUUAGUAUUAUAAGUUCUCAAAAUAAAAUAAAAUAAAAUAAAUACGAUCCUCAAUCAUGUCACAUAGCCACCACCAUAGCCAUACUUGUCAUCGGAGACACCACACCUUUCCUACAAAUGUCGAGAAUAUCCUUAACAUGGUAACUGAGAAAGUUGAAAAGUAGAAAUGUGGUUGCAACACGAUGAAAAAGCACAAAGAUUUGUGAAAUCUUUCUUGCGACUUUU
Molecule: long non-coding RNA, 237 nt
Filed under: Panax ginseng (ginseng)
Lineage: Eukaryota; Viridiplantae; Streptophyta; Magnoliopsida; Apiales; Araliaceae
Description: long non-coding RNA (PGIN_LNC003835)
Source: RNAcentral